AUUGAACGCUGGCGGCAGGCCUAACACAUGCAAGUCGAACGAGUGGUGGACGGGUGAGCAAUGUCUGGGAAACUGCCUGAUGGAGGGGGAUAACUACUGGAAACGGUAGCUAAUACCGCAUACCAUCGGAUGUGCCCAGAUGGGAUUAGCUAGUAGGUGGGGUAAAGGCUCACCUAGGCGACGAUCCCUAGCUGGCCUGAGAGGAUGACCAGCCCCACUGGUACUGUGGCACGGUCCAGACUCCUCCGGGAGGCAGCAGUGGGGAAUAUUGCACAAUGGGCGCACGCCUGAUGCAGCCAUGCCGCGUGUAUGAAGAAGUCCUUCGAGUUGUAAAGUACUUUCAGCGGAGAGGCGUUACCCGCAGAAGAAGCACCGGCUAACUCCGUGCCAGCAGCCGCGGUAAUUC
This 406-nucleotide ribosomal RNA is filed under the name uncultured bacterium. RNAcentral describes it as "partial 16S ribosomal RNA". It matches the Rfam family "Bacterial small subunit ribosomal RNA", at positions 30 to 526 of the family's 1533-position model. The record is from RNAcentral.